This 375-nucleotide RNase P RNA is filed under the name Deltaproteobacteria bacterium. Its description in RNAcentral is "RNase P RNA component class A". It matches the Rfam family "Bacterial RNase P class A". From Rfam's summary of the family: Ribonuclease P (RNase P) is a ubiquitous endoribonuclease, found in archaea, bacteria and eukarya as well as chloroplasts and mitochondria. Its best characterised activity is the generation of mature 5'-ends of tRNAs by cleaving the 5'-leader elements of precursor-tRNAs. Lineage: Bacteria; Pseudomonadati; Myxococcota; Myxococcia. The record is from RNAcentral.
AAAGAAGAACAGAUGAUCGCCGGUCCGUUUAGACGGGCGGGAGGAAAGUCCGGGCUCCGCAGGGCGGGAUGGUCCCUAACGGGGACCGGGGGCGACCCCAGGGAAAGUGCCACAGAAAAGAUACCGCCCCCCAAAGGGGGGUAAGGGUGAAAUGGCGAGUUAAGAGCUCACCAGUUCCGGUGGCGACACCGGAAGCUUGGCAAACCCCAUCCGGAGCAAGGCCAAAUAGGGAAGCGUUGGAGGACGGCCCGUCCGAAGCUUCCGGGUCAGGCCGCUUGAGACUGCCGGCAACGGCAGCCCUAGAUAAAUGAUCGUCGCCUCCUUUUCGGGCAACCGGGAGGAGGAACAGAACCCGGCUUACGGUCUUCUUUGGCC